GAUGAACGCUGGCGGCGUGCCUAAUACAUGCAAGUCGAGCGAACGGACGAGAAGCUUGCUUCUCUGAUGUUAGCGGCGGACGGGUGAGUAACACGUGGAUAACCUACCUAUAAGACUGUGAUAACUUCGGGAAACCGGAGCUAAUACCGGAUAAUAUUUUGAACCGCAUGGUUCAAAAGUGAAAGACGGUCUUGCUGUCACUUAUAGAUGGAUCCGCGCUGCAUUAGCUAGUUGGUAAGGUAACGGCUUACCAAGGCAACGAUGCAUAGCCGACCUGAGAGGGUGAUCGGCCACACUGGAACUGAGACACGGUCCAGACUCCUACGGGAGGCAGCAGUAGGGAAUCUUCCGCAAUGGGCGAAAGCCUGACGGAGCAACGCCGCGUGAGUGAUGAAGGGCUUCGGAUCGUAAAACUCUGUUAUUAGGGAAGAACAUAUGUGUAAGUAACUGUGCACAUCUUGACGGUACCUAAUCAGAAAGCCACGGCUAACUACGUGC
This 498-nucleotide ribosomal RNA is filed under the name uncultured bacterium. Its description in RNAcentral is "partial 16S ribosomal RNA". It matches the Rfam family "Bacterial small subunit ribosomal RNA", at positions 28 to 508 of the family's 1533-position model. The record is from RNAcentral.